Molecule: unclassified non-coding RNA, 6398 nt
Filed under: Haliotis rubra (blacklip abalone)
Lineage: Eukaryota; Metazoa; Mollusca; Gastropoda; Lepetellida; Haliotidae
Description: acetyl-coenzyme A synthetase, cytoplasmic-like, transcript variant X1
Source: RNAcentral
AUCUCAUAGUCGGCAUCACAACCGAAGAUGGCGGAUAGCGAGAACUCGGUAGAAAUGGAGGGACUUUACCAGCCCCCAAACGAGCUUCAGAAAGAUGCUCAUGUCAAGAGCUUUGAUCAGUAUAAAGAAAUGUACAAGAAGUCCGUUGAAGAGCCAGAAGAAUUUUGGAAAGAGAUUGCAAAGGAAUUUUAUUGGAAGUCGCCCCCCACUGGCCGGUUUCUUGAGUACAACUUCGACUAUACACAAGGACCCAUAUCCAUCAAAUGGAUGGAAGGAGCGAAAACUAACAUCUGCUACAACGUGCUUGACAGAAACAUCGAACGUGGUUUGGGAGACAAGAUAGCAUUUUAUUGGGAAGGGAAUGACCCCAACGACCAUGGUAAAAUAACCUACAAGGAAUUGCUGCAGAAAGUAUGCAAGUUUGCCAACGUUCUCAAGGCUCAGGGAAUAAAGAAAGGGGAUCGUGUGGCAAUCUACAUGCCGAUGAUCGUGGAGCUGACGAUAGCCAUGUUGGCCUGUGCCAGGAUAGGAGCCAUUCAUUCCAUUGUGUUCGCUGGAUAUUCCUCGGAGUCGUUAGCAGACAGAAUCAUAGAUGCCAAAUGUUUAGCAGUUAUGACUGCAGAUGGUGUGUGGCGUGGCACCAAACUUCUGAAUCUCAAACAAAUUGUGGAUGAAGCCAUUAGGUUGAGUGGAGAGAGAAGCCACAAGGUGUCCAAGUGUAUCGUAGUGCGGCAUCUGUCACCGUCUGAUGAGGAGGUGAUUGAUGGAGAUGGGGACGGCCAUGAUGAACCUCCGGCCAAGAGGCCCUACAGGAAGCUCAAGAUCAACUGGCACAGUGACCGUGAUGUAUGGUGGCAUGAUGUGAUGAAGGACAGUAGUGACAUCUCGGAGCCGGAAUGGAUGGAUGCAGAGGACCCACUUUUCAUGCUGUAUACCAGUGGUUCAACAGGGAAACCUAAAGGUGUCCUCCACACUGUUGGAGGCUACAUGUUGUUCACGGCGACGACGUUCAAGUACGUGUUUGACUACCAACCUGACGAUGUGUACUGGUGUACGGCGGACGUUGGCUGGAUCACUGGACACUCGUAUGUCUGCUAUGGUCCGCUAGGAAAUGGAGCCACCAGCAUCAUAUUUGAGGGCACGCCAAUGUACCCUGAUGCUGGACGACUGUGGGAAGUGGUAGACAAGUACAAGGUGACCAAGUUCUACACCGCCCCCACAGCCAUCAGGUCGCUCAUGAAGUUCGGGGACAGCUUUGUCACAAAAUACUCCCGGAAGUCCCUGAAGAUCUUGGGCACUGUAGGCGAACCCAUCAACCCUGAGGCCUGGCUGUGGUAUCACAAGGUUGUGGGCAACGGAAAAUGUGCAAUUGUAGACACGUUCUGGCAGACAGAGACGGGAGGUCAUGUGAUCACUCCACUUCCCGGUGCCACUGCCACAAAACCAGGAUCAGCUACAUUCCCUUUCUUCGGCGUAGUUCCAGCCAUUGUGAAUGACGAGGGGAAGGAACUCACAGGGGCCGCUGAAGGAUAUUUGGUGUUCAAGCAGCCUUGGCCCAGCAUCAUGAGGACAGUGUAUGGAGACCAUGAAAGGUUCGAGACCACAUACUUCAAGAAGUUUCCCGGGUGCUACUGCACUGGAGAUGGUGCACGCAGGGAUGAAGACGGGUACAUAUGGAUCACGGGACGUAUAGACGACAUGGUGAAUGUGUCCGGCCACUUGUUGAGCACAGCGGAAGUGGAGUCCGCCCUCAUUGAGCACAAGGCUGUGACUGAGGCAGCGUCUGUCUCUCACCCACACAAGAUCAAGGGAGAGUGCAUUUACUGCUUCGUCACCCUGAAGCAGGGAUUUGAAUUCACCCCUGAUCUUACAACUGAACUAAAGAAUAUUGUUCGUGCCAAGAUUGGACCAUUUGCUCAACCAGAUUUCAUCCAAAAUGCUCCAGCCUUGCCCAAAACUCGAUCAGGGAAAAUCAUGAGACGUAUCCUGCGGAAGACUGCAGUCGGUGACCGCCAGCUUGGUGAUACGUCAACACUGGCCGAUGAAAGCGUCAUUGAUUUGUUGUUCCAGAACCGACCAAACGAUGCAUAAACUCAUUACCACCAUCGUAGAAAACAUGUGAAGUCAGAAUGCAGUUGUUAACAGUUAGUCUGUUUAUAGCCCAAUUAUUAUUAGUAAUAAGGGAUUAGAUGAGGAAGAUUGUAUUGAUUAUCACUGUUAGGCAGCUUAAACAUUCAGGUGAUUGUUUGCCAGGGGGAGUAGUUGGCACUUUGGUUGUGUGUCACUGUGUGAUUCAUUUCAUCCUUCAUAGGGGCGGUGGGGUAGCCUAGUGGUUAAAGUAUUUGCUCAUCACGCCAUAGAUCCGGGUUCGAUUCCCCACAUGGGUACAAUGUGUGAAGCCCAUUUCUGGUGUCUGUCGUGAUAUUGCUGGAAUAUUGCUAAAAGCGGCGUAAAACCAUACUCACUCACUCACUCAUCCUUCAUAGGACGUUUGUUUUGGGGUUCUCAUAGUUUUUAGUGUAACAGUUUUUGUGUAUUUCGGGGGCAAUCUUGAAGUGUAUGGUUGAUAUUUUGGGUUGUUUGUUUUAGUUUAUACUGUCUCUAGCAGGAUGCAAGCUAAUGUUGACUUCACUGCAAGACAUAUUUAAGAAAGCCAAGGGGCUUUUGUCUUAUCUCUUGAUGUUAAACUUUGCAUGUGUAGGGGUCCUAAACUUUUUCUUUCCUCCUGUCGACUUCUAAUUUGGACCCCAUUUUAAAUUGAAUAUUGGAUAACAUGAGAAUAGUUACCGGCAUAUAUCUAGUCAGGUAUGCAUUCAAAGAUUCUCUCUACAAAUUAUGCCAAAGUUGUUUGUGUGAAGAUUUGAAGAUUUUAUCAACAUCUUUAUGAUGAUCCAUUUGUUACAUUUUCUAUCCAUUUUGUGUCACUGUUGUCAUGGUAAUAACAGUAAAGUUAUUUCUUCUGUGUUUAUACUCAUGACUCAUUACAGAAAUACUGUAUUUGGUUUUCCUUUUUGGUGACUUUUUAGUUGUCCUUUUGUUGACAGUUAGCAACUAACAUUGAUAUAUAUUAUUAUUGCCAUCCCUAUGCCAUUCCUUAUUCUCACACCGUUGUGUGUGCAAUAUUAUGCAAGUACUCAAAAUUAUGUUCUAUACAUAUCCCUUGUUUCUUGAAUUUUCAUCAUUUAUUUGUUAUUUUUAUUGAGGACACAACUGAAUACUUAAUACUUGUUUUUUUGUAAGCAGAACCACAAAUUAAGUCGUGAUCUAUUUAUUUGUAUCAAGAUAUAAUCUGAUAAACAGAUUAACUUAACAUCAUUUCAUAAAUGAAAUCCUCUUCUUGAGGUGAGAUCCUGAUUUUGAUAAUUUUAGUGAGUUAAAGGAAUAUCAAAUGAAAUUGUUACUACUUAUUAUUAUGUAGAAGUGGUUUUUAUUUUUACUGUAUUAUAUUUUCUGUGUUUUUAAGUCUUAUUUGUGUGGGGUUUGAUGAUACUUGAAGGAUACUUUAAGCAUUGAAUUGUAACCUGGGGCUAGAGACACUACAAGAAGUGCAAUAUGAAAUGCAGCAACAAUGAAAGGUGAAUGGUAUGAGAGGAAGCCUCAGGCUAGUGAUGUGAUGUGGACUGUAUCACAUUCUUUAAUGUACUCUAAGCGUAUCAUGAAAGCCAUACCUUAUUGCUACUUACGUUAUUAUACAAUCAGAUUCAGAACUUUGGAUUGUGGCUGUUUUAUGUUUCUACUUCAAUUACAAUCUGGCUGAGUUCUUGCAAAGCAGGGCGGUGGGGUAGCCUAGUGGUUAAAGCAUUCGCUUGUCACGCCGAAGACCCGGGUUCGAUUUGUCACAUGGGUACAAUGUGUGAAGUACAUUUAUGGUUGCUGGAAUAUUGCUAAAAGCGGCGUAAAACUAAACUCACUCACUCACUCUUGCAAAGCUGAGUUAAUAAUACUUUUUGGAAACUGAUACAGAGUGAUGUUAUGAAUUAAUACAUGGGGAGGCAUUUCAUGUACUUUAUCACUUUGUUUAAAUUGUUUAUGUUCAUCUGUAAUUCCCCCCCAAAAGUAUCAUAGAAAAUGGCAAUAUAAGCAUCAUUGUAAGUAAAGAUUCACAAUAGUAGCAUUGUAAUAUGACGUGUAUCACAAUAUUAGCAUUGUGAUAUGACGUGUAUCACAAUGUAAGUGUGAUAUGACGUGUAUCACAAUAUUAGCAGUGUGAUAUGACGUGUAUCACAAAAUUAGCAGUGUGAUAUAACAUGUAUCACAGUAUUAGCAUUGUGAUAUGACAUCUAUCACAAUAUUAGCAUUGUGAUAUGACAUCUAUCACAAUAUUAGCAGUGUGAUAUAACAUGUAUCACAAUAUUAGCAAUGUGAUAUGACAUCUAUCACAAUAUUAGCAUUGUGAUAUGACAUCUAUCACAGUAUUAGCAUUGUGAUAUGACACCUAUCACAAUAUUGGCAUUGUCCUGUGCUGUGAUAUGCAUCAUUGGACUAAUGUAUCUUGGUAUUUACCGGUACUCCAUAUUUGUAUUGUAACCUGUUAGCAUGCUAACUGAAGAUAAUUAAUCAAAACACAUCAACCUUUUCAGUGUUACAUUAAAAAUAAUCAGCUUUGCCUUAUAGCAGUAUGCAAGGACCAAUGUUUAUGUUGCACUGUAUUAUUUUUCCCCCAGUAUUUCUCUGUUGUGGAUCCGAAUCUCUCCUGUUGUUUAUUUCAUUUUGCCUCAACCAUCUUAACCUUUGGCUUAAGAAAACAGCCUAUAUAGUCUUCAUAUUAACAAAUUUGUAAAUAGAACAACUGCUAAGAUACAAUGGAAGCUGUAAUUUUAUGCAUUUUGGUUCUAACAGAUUGCAUUUCCUAUUCUACCAUUCCAUUAAACAGUAUUUGGAACAUCAUAUGUAGUAGAAGUAUGUGGUUUGUAUACAGGGCUAUGUCACCCUAGCAUGGUAUGAGAUGUAUUCAGAACAGCGGUCAGGAUCGACUGUAAGUUAUAGUGUGAUUGUUAUGGCUAAUAUGUGACGAGUCUGUGUGUAUCUGUGUACAUUUGUGUACAAGACAAGGGUAAAUGUACUGGGUAAAAAUCCUGUAGUUUCUAAAUAAGUUCUUUGUUAAGAAUAGUAAUAUGUUUUUCCAUGCAAAACUUUUGAAAUAAGUCCCUUGAAACCAGGAUGAAAAGGAUUUUCGAUCAUUUUUCACAUCCUGAAACAUGGUGAAGAAAAAUCUACAUUUCCUUGUCAUAAAAUCUCUGGUUGAACGGAAAUCCAGAUGUCUUUACAGGUAUAGUUCUUGAGUAACACAUGAGCCUCAUUGCUCUCAUUGUAUUUACCUUUGUGUUAAUUGCAACUAAAUUAGCCACCCAGGCAAUGCCCUUUUCUAUUUGUUAAAUGUCCACAAAGGGUCACCAUCUGACAAACUGAAGGUCACAUGCUUUUUCAAGCAUGUCACCUCAUUCAGCAGCCACUGUGAGCACUACCUAUGCAUUGUACUUACAAUUACCUCAGGUGACCUCGACAUUGUGGUCUUUACCUUUGUUAUCUCCCUUUGGCCAACUGCCUGGAUAGAGGUUACCAGUAAGUUAAAUGUUUCACAAAAUAUUGUUUGUAUUUUUUACUUUGUUGAGUAUUAUUUGUUUAUUGAUGGUGGGGAAUUAAUAAGAAACAUAGUAAAUAGUGUGUAUCAUCCCAAAUAUGAUUUUGUUAAAACCUUACUUACUUUACCAGUAACCCGUGAAGAUCUGGGUUAGAAUUGAUCUUCAGCAACCCAUGCUUGUCGUAAAAGGCAACUAACGGGAUCGGGUGGUUAGGCUCGUUGACUUAGCUGACACCUCAUUGGUUCCCAAUUAUGCAGAACGAUGCUCAUGCUGUUGAUCACUGGAUUGUCUGGUCCAGACUCGAUUAUUUACAGACCGUCGCCAUAUAGCUGGAAUAAUGCUGAGUGCAGCGUAAAACUAAACUCACUCACUCACUACUUUACCAGUAAUUAAUCACUUUCAAAUGAAUUGGUCCAUUGACAUGGGUUCAUCAAAUGAUGAAACCCAGCAUGAAUGUAUUGUUUAUUUGAACCCUGAAUGGAGGGAUUUGAACUGUCUUAGUUAAUUAGUUAGUUGUCCAAUUUAGAGUAUCCCAUAAUAAUUGAAAUCUAGUAAUCAUUCCUAAUCAGGUAGACCAGUGACUCCUAUUUAACCUUGCUGAAGUUACAGAUACUGAUGCUGUGAUCUCUUGGUAUAUCUGUGGCACUAUGUAACAGUCCAGACAAACUAAUAUAUAUGUAUUUAGCACUGUCAGUGUCUGGCUUGCAUGGGUGGUAACUGGGUGGAAGAUCUUCAUAUCAGCUUCGCAAUACAGAAUAUCUUGGUUGUUAGUGUAUGAUAUCAUGUAUAUCAGCAGAAUAAAUUUCUACAGGUACA